Lates calcarifer (barramundi perch) is the source of this 770-nucleotide long non-coding RNA. RefSeq lists it as uncharacterized. NCBI's taxonomy places the organism in Eukaryota, Metazoa, Chordata, Actinopteri, Centropomidae. The transcript is spliced from 6 exons. The record is from RefSeq and is a predicted model, not a curated record.
GUGAUGUGCGGAGUGGAGAGCGGAGCGACAAAGAAACGGAGUCGGAGAAACCAGUAAAAAUAAGAGUAAAACCAACGUUUGAGUCAUCGCUUUGUCACUUGUUUUGUCAUCUGUUAGGUUUGUUAGUGAAGAACUGAGGAAGUGUGGAUGUUUAGACAAGCUUUGGAGCUGUUUUUGUCGAUUGAGGCUGGACGCUCAACACACCUGCGGAGCUAAGGACUGAGAGUUGAAGCAGGAAACAGCUGAGCUGACAGAAGAGACAGACGUGAAGAUUUCCACAAGUGUCACCACUUUGUCCAUGAGUCCAGAGACACGUCCAUCCAGAUCCAAGACAGAGAGGCGCAGGCGUCCAUCCAGGUGAACUCACAGAAACCAAUGAAUCCACUAAAAGUGAAGGAGGAGUCGUCGUCGUCACAGCAGCUGAAGUCCUGGAGCUGAAGUGGAUGAAAGAAAACAACAGUUAUGAAGAUGUUAAUGAGUAAAACAGAGAGAAAACCUCCUGCUCUGCUCCUUCAUGUUGUCACAGUGCAGACACUUUGUUUUACCUCCCUCUAUAACGUAGCUGUGAUCAAACAUGUCUCUGUGUUUAACUGCUUCUGUGUUAGAAGCAGUUAAACACAGAGACGUGUGUGAUCACAGCUACAUGACGUGUUCUGGCUCAGAGAAUAAAACAAAGUGUUUCAGUCAAACUUCUGUCAUUAUCUUGUCUGUGGUUUGUUAAAUGUCUGAAACUAAAAUCAUUAAAAUGUUUCUGAUUAAACUUUUCAGUU